CAAUAGCGUAUAUUAAAGUUGUUGCAGUUAAAAAGCUCGUAGUUGGAUUUCUGGUGGGAGCGAUCGGUCUGGCGCUUAGCGCGAGUACUUGCAUCGUCUCCGGCCAUCCUUGGGGAGAGUCUGUCUGGCAUUAGGUUGUCGGGCAGAGGAUCCUCAUCGUUUACUGUGAAAAAAUUAGAGUGUUCAAAGCAGGCUUAUGCCGUUGAAUAUAUUAGCAUGGAAUAAUAAGAUAGGACUUUGGUACUAUUUUGUUGGUUUGCGCACUAAAGUAAUGAUUAAUAGGGACAGUUGGGGGUAUUCGUAUUCCGUUGUCAGAGGUGAAAUUCUUGGAUUACGGAAGACGAACUACUGCGAAAGCAUUUACCAAGGAUGUUUUCAUUAA
Molecule: ribosomal RNA, 382 nt
Filed under: uncultured eukaryote
Lineage: Eukaryota
Description: partial 18S ribosomal RNA
Rfam family: Eukaryotic small subunit ribosomal RNA
Source: RNAcentral